Molecule: ribosomal RNA, 253 nt
Filed under: uncultured bacterium
Lineage: Bacteria
Description: partial 16S ribosomal RNA
Rfam family: Bacterial small subunit ribosomal RNA
Source: RNAcentral
GACGUAGGGCGCGAGCGUUGUCCGGAUUUAUUGGGUGUAAAGAGCUCGUAGGCGGUUUGUCGCGUCUGCCGUGAAAGUCCGGGGCUCAACUCCGGAUCUGCGGUGGGUACGGGCAGACUAGAGUGUGGUAGGGGAGACUGGAAUUCCUGGUGUAGCGGUGAAAUGCGCAGAUAUCAGGAGGAACACCGAUGGCGAAGGCAGGUCUCUGGGCCACUACUGACGCUGAGAAGCGAAAGCAUGGGGAGCGAACAGG